RNAcentral lists this ribosomal RNA (253 nucleotides) under uncultured bacterium. RNAcentral's name for it is "partial 16S ribosomal RNA". It matches the Rfam family "Bacterial small subunit ribosomal RNA", at positions 524 to 776 of the family's 1533-position model. The record is from RNAcentral.
UACGGGGGGGGCAAGCGUUGUUCGGAAUUACUGGGCGUAAAGGGCUCGUAGGCGGCCAACUAAGUCAGACGUGAAAUCCCUCGGCUUAACCGGGGAACUGCGUCUGAUACUGGAUGGCUUGAGGUUGGGAGAGGGAUGCGGAAUUCCAGGUGUAGCGGUGAAAUGCGUAGAUAUCUGGAGGAACACCGGUGGCGAAGGCGGGUCUCUGGGCCGAUACUGACGCUGAGGAGCGAAAGCGUGGGGAGCGAACAGG